Molecule: non-coding RNA, 426 nt
Organism: Monopterus albus (swamp eel)
Lineage: Eukaryota; Metazoa; Chordata; Actinopteri; Synbranchiformes; Synbranchidae
Source: the annotation of a RefSeq genome assembly
AUGAAACUCUGGCUGACAAACAUCCUGAUUCUGACUCUCUGGAGAGAGUGUAAAGGAGAAGACAAAGUGACCCAGCCAGGAGGAGACGUCACUGCUGCUGUAGGAGACACAGUUACACUGGACUGUACUUUUGAGACCGAUUACACAGGUCCCACUUUGUUCUGGUACAAACAAGAAGUAAAUUCAUCCCCACAGUACAUGCUGAAAUGCUACUCAGCCAAUGUAGAUAAAGCUCCAGAGUUCCAGGAAGACAGAUUUAAUGCUACGAUGAACAAGCCAUCAGCUCCUCUGACGAUCCAGAAGCUUCAGCUGAAUGACUCUGCUGUGUACUACUGUGCUUUGCGGCCCACAGUGACAGGAAACACCAGGACUCUGUACAAAAACCUCCAGAGCAAACACAACACAAUGCUCCACAACAUCCACUAG